RNAcentral lists this small nuclear RNA (110 nucleotides) under Suricata suricatta (meerkat). Lineage: Eukaryota; Metazoa; Chordata; Mammalia; Carnivora; Herpestidae. The record is from RNAcentral.
GUACUUGCUGUGGCAGCACAUAUACUAAAAAUUGGAAUAAUACAGAGAAGAUUAGCAUAGCUCUUCUGUGCAAGGAUGACCUGCAAAUUUGUGAAGCAUCCCAUAUUGAA